CCUACGGGGGGCAGCAGUGGGGAAUAUUGGACAAUGGGCGCAAGCCUGAUCCAGCAAUGCCGCGUGUGUGAAGAAGGCCUGCGGGUUGUAAAGCACUUUAAGCAGGAAAGAAGGCUUCAGGGUUAAUACCCUUGGGGAUUGACGUUACCUGCAGAAUAAGCACCGGCUAACUCCGUGCCAGCAGCCGCGGUAAUACGGAGGGUGCGAGCGGGAAUCAGGAUUACGGGGGCGAAUUGGUGCGUCCGCGGUUAAAGCCCCGGGCUUAACCUGGGAACUGCAGUGGAUACUGGCAAGCUAGAGUAUGGUAGAGGAGAGUGGAAUUUCCGGUGUAGCAGUGAAAUGCGUAGAGAUCGGAAGGAACACCAGUGGCGAAGGCGGCUCUCUGGACUAAUACUGACGCUGAGGUGCGAAAGCGUGGGGAGCAAACAGGAUUAGAUACCCCUGUAGUC
RNAcentral lists this ribosomal RNA (449 nucleotides) under uncultured bacterium. RNAcentral's name for it is "partial 16S ribosomal RNA". It matches the Rfam family "Bacterial small subunit ribosomal RNA", at positions 338 to 795 of the family's 1533-position model. The record is from RNAcentral.